GUGCUCGUUUCAGCAGCACAUAUACUAAAAUUGACACGAUACAAAGAAGAUUAGCAUGGCCCCUGCACAAGGAUGACAUGCAAAUUCUUGAAUCGUUCCAUAUUUAA
Molecule: small nuclear RNA, 107 nt
Organism: Suncus etruscus (white-toothed pygmy shrew)
Lineage: Eukaryota; Metazoa; Chordata; Mammalia; Eulipotyphla; Soricidae
Source: RefSeq, a predicted model, not a curated record